UCAAAUUAUAAAUAGGAAGUUUGUCAAAUAAUCACGGGUAGCCACACUUUUGACUUAAAAGUAGGAAAAAGUGCUUCAUAGAGCAUCACUGCAGAAUUACUGAAAUUUUGACGGCAUUCUGAAAUAAACAUGUUUACCAUGGAAAAGCUGACACUUCUGCUUCUUUUCAUGACAUUCUCUGCGGGGGAUGCAGCAGCUGAUGGCUGCCCCCCUGGAUGGUCAGCAUUUGGACUGAAAUGUGUCAAAUUCUUCUCACAAACACUUGACUGGUUGUCAGCAGAGAAGUACUGUCAAACUUUUGGUGGAAAUCUUGCAUCGGUGCACAGUAAAUCUGAAAACAGUCUUCUGCUGAACAUGGUGCCUGGUACGACACAAACUUGGAUUGGUGGUCAUGAUGGUGUAAAAGUAGGACAGUGGAUGUGGAGUGAUGGCUCUGCCUUUGAAUACAACAACUUUUGCAGUGGACAACCUGACAAUUCUCUAAAUAAUGAGAACGCUCUGGAAAUAAACUUCG
This is a long non-coding RNA of Ctenopharyngodon idella (grass carp), 514 nucleotides long. RefSeq lists it as uncharacterized. The transcript is spliced from 5 exons. Lineage: Eukaryota; Metazoa; Chordata; Actinopteri; Cypriniformes; Xenocyprididae. The record is from RefSeq and is a predicted model, not a curated record.